This 253-nucleotide ribosomal RNA is filed under the name uncultured bacterium. RNAcentral's name for it is "partial 16S ribosomal RNA". It matches the Rfam family "Bacterial small subunit ribosomal RNA", at positions 524 to 776 of the family's 1533-position model. The record is from RNAcentral.
UACGGAGGGGGCGAGCGUUAUUCGGAAUUAUUGGGCGUAAAGGGCGCGUAGGCGGCGCGAUAAGUCAAAGGUGAAAUCCCUCGGCUCAACUGAGGAACUGCCUUUGAAACUGUCGUGCUUGAGGCCGGGAGGGGGUAGCGGAAUUCCCAGUGUAGCGGUGAAAUGCGUAGAUAUUGGGAGGAACACCAGUGGCGAAGGCGGCUACCUGGACCGGUUCUGACGCUGAUGCGCGAAAGCGUGGGUAGCAAACGGG